This 1124-nucleotide long non-coding RNA is filed under the name Oncorhynchus kisutch (coho salmon). Its description in RNAcentral is "lncRNA (ENSOKIG00005006147.1)". The record is from RNAcentral. Lineage: Eukaryota; Metazoa; Chordata; Actinopteri; Salmoniformes; Salmonidae.
GUCCGUUUGUAGUCUGUAAUAGUUUGCAAGUUUUGCCACAUCUGACGAGCGUCGGAGCCGGUGUAGUACGAUUCGAUCUUAGUCCUGUAUUGAGAUUUGACUGUUUGAUGGUUCGUCGGAGGGCAUAGCGGGAUUUAUUUUAAGCUUCCGGGUUAGAGUCCCGCUCCUUGAAAGUGGCAGCUCUACCCUAGCUCAGUGCAAAUGUUGCCUGUAAUCCAUGGCUUCUGGUUGGGGUAUGUAUAUAGCCUGUACUUUGCCCAUAGAAACAGUCUGAGUACUGAUUAUAAAAAACAUAAUUGUAUUAUUGGCCUUUUUGAAUGCCUAGAAAUCAAUAAUAAAGGUUAUCCAUUUGUUGUUAGAAAUACAUCAUAAGAUGUAGGCUGUGUCUUCUUAUAUACGAUCCAGUUAACUAGCCAAUGCAUCAACAUUCUCUAUUAUCUCAGCAAAUUCUCUUCACAGUUAAAUAUUUGUAUCAGGUUCGCUCUCCCCUUGUCUCCCUUCAUCACCCCCUCCUUCUUUCUUCCUCUUUCCCCCUCUGUUGGUUUCUCUCACUUUCCAUUUGACAAAGGCCCAAUGCUUUGUCUGUUGUCUGUCUGGAUAUUCUGAAGUCAUGCAGUGGAUUGUAGACGCCCAUCAUCGUAUCCAAAACAUGAUGGAUUAUACCCCGUGAAGCUGUAGUCCAAUCCAUCAUUCAUGUACUUUCGAGGUAUUGAAUUGACAUGAAAAUGUUGGUCUUCGCCGAGGGUUAUCUCUCAACUCAUGCCUAAACUUUCGAAACCUGUCGUUAUUCCAUGAAGAAGAGCGAGUCCUUGCAUUCCGAUUAUGUGCUAGCACAUGAUUUGGAAAAGUACACCCUCUUCAGCAUACGGAUACCGUGCCUGUGGCACCAUCCAGCAGCAGCAUCCCAAGCACUUUCCGGGAUACUGUGCCUGUGGCACCAUCCAGCAGCAGCAUUCCAAGCACUUUCCGGGAUACUGUUCCGGUGGCACCAUCCAGCAGCAGCAACCCAAGCAGUUACCGGAAUUCUACCAAUGGCACAUGUUGUCCAAAACCGCUCACCAACAAAAUCCGUGCUUAUUUCCGCAGCCGAAGGGCAGCUUGUAAUCAUGCCCACGAUGCGAUAA